CCCCUAGAUGUUCUGGGCCGCACGCGCGCUACACUGAACAGUUCAACAAGUCUUAACCUUGGCCGAUAGGUCUGGGUAAUCUUUGAACGCUGUUCGUGAUUGGGAUAGACCUUUGCAAUUAUGGGUCUUCAACGAGGAAUUCCUAGUAAACGCAAGUCAUCAGCUUGCAUUGAUUACGUCCCGCCCUUUGUACACACCGCCCGUCGCACCUACCGAUUGAAUGGUCCGGUGAAAUCUCGGGACGGCGGCUUGGUCGCUUGCGUCCGACUGCUGAAACUUGAUUAAACCAUAUCAUUUAGAGGAAGGUGAAGUCGUAACA
This 319-nucleotide ribosomal RNA is filed under the name uncultured eukaryote. RNAcentral's name for it is "partial 18S ribosomal RNA". It matches the Rfam family "Eukaryotic small subunit ribosomal RNA", at positions 1470 to 1796 of the family's 1831-position model. The record is from RNAcentral.